GAUGAACGCUGGCGGCGUGCUUAACACAUGCAAGUCGAACGGAAAGGCCCAAGCUUGCUUGGGUACUCGAGUGGCGAACGGGUGAGUAACACGUGGGUGAUCUGCCCUGCACUUCGGGAUAAGCCUGGGAAACUGGGUCUAAUACCGGAUAGGACGAUGGUUUGGAUGCCAUUGUGGACAGUUUUUUCGGUGUGGGAUGAGCUCGCGGCCUAUCAGCUUGUUGGUGGGGUAAUGGCCUACCAAGGCGUCGACGGGUAGCCGGCCUGAGAGGGUGUACGGCCACAUUGGGACUGAGAUAAGGCCCAGACUCCUACGGGAGGCAGCAGUGGGGAAUAUUGCACAAUGGGCGCAAGCCUGAUGCAGCGACGCCGCGUGGGGGAUGACGGCCUUCGGGUUGUAAACUCCUUUCGCUAGGGACGAAGCGUUUUUGUGACGGUACCUGGAGAAGAAGCACCGGCUAACUACGUG
RNAcentral lists this ribosomal RNA (468 nucleotides) under uncultured bacterium. RNAcentral describes it as "partial 16S ribosomal RNA". It matches the Rfam family "Bacterial small subunit ribosomal RNA", at positions 28 to 507 of the family's 1533-position model. The record is from RNAcentral.